CUAGGACAUUUCAGCAUGCUUCCAGGAGAAGAGGUGUGGGAUGGUCUAAAGUCACCAAAGCUCUGAGGUCAGAAUAAGGCUUCCAUGCUGUGAAGAAGCUGCAGCCGCACGGAAAGGCCCAGUGUACACGGAGCCCCAACCAGGACCCAGUCAGCAACCAGCUUGCGAGUGAGACACAGCAGAUGGCCGGUACCCUACAGCUCUCACCGCUUCCCAUUCCUGUUGCCUGCAUCAGAAUGGUGGCCCCUGAGAACAACUCAGCAGACCCCUGCCAGUCCAGAGAAAGCUGAGAGAAGAUAAUUAAUAAUUCUUUUCAGCCACUAAAUUUUUCUAGCGGGAGUUGCUGUGGGGAUGGGGAAGGAGUGACCGGAUGUCUGUAGCCUGAUAGCGUCAACCAGCAGCGCCCCGAGCCAGACAUUCCUUCCUCAGUAAGGGCGGACAUCCGAGAAAGCACAAUGAACCCAGC
Chinchilla lanigera (long-tailed chinchilla) is the source of this 466-nucleotide long non-coding RNA. RefSeq lists it as uncharacterized. The record is from RefSeq and is a predicted model, not a curated record. Lineage: Eukaryota; Metazoa; Chordata; Mammalia; Rodentia; Chinchillidae. The transcript has 3 exons.